This 73-nucleotide transfer RNA is filed under the name Mammaliicoccus lentus. RNAcentral's name for it is "Staphylococcus lentus tRNA-Arg(ccg)". It matches the Rfam family "tRNA". Rfam says of the family: Transfer RNA (tRNA) molecules are approximately 80 nucleotides in length. Their secondary structure includes four short double-helical elements and three loops (D, anti-codon, and T loops). Further hydrogen bonds mediate the characteristic L-shaped molecular structure. tRNAs have two regions of fundamental functional importance: the anti-codon, which is responsible for specific mRNA codon recognition, and the 3' end, to which the tRNAs corresponding amino acid is attached (by aminoacyl-tRNA synthetases). tRNAs cope with the degeneracy of the genetic code in two manners: having more than one tRNA (with a specific anti-codon) for a particular amino acid; and 'wobble' base-pairing, i.e. permitting non-standard base-pairing at the 3rd anti-codon position. RNAcentral also lists the same sequence under 1 other name. The record is from RNAcentral. Lineage: Bacteria; Bacillati; Bacillota; Bacilli; Caryophanales; Staphylococcaceae.
CUCUCCGUAGUGUAAUGGAUAACACGCAAGAUUCCGGUUCUUGAAAUGGGCGUUCAAUUCGUCCCGGGGAGGC